UACGUAGGUGGCAAGCGUUGUUCGGAAUUAUUGGGCGUAAAGGGCGCGUAGGCGGUUUGUUAAGUCGGUUGUGAAACCUCCAGGCUCAACCUGGAGACGCCACUCGAUACUGCUAUGGCUAGAGUCCGGUAGGGGACCACGGAAUUCCUGGUGUAGCGGUGAAAUGCGCAGAUAUCAGGAGGAACACCGGUGGCGAAGGCGGUGGUCUGGGCCGGCACUGACGCUGAGGAGCGAAAGCCAGGGGAGCAAACGGG
Molecule: ribosomal RNA, 254 nt
Filed under: uncultured bacterium
Lineage: Bacteria
Description: partial 16S ribosomal RNA
Rfam family: Bacterial small subunit ribosomal RNA
Source: RNAcentral